This 446-nucleotide ribosomal RNA is filed under the name Polystira sp. R-GAN-26. RNAcentral describes it as "partial small subunit ribosomal RNA". Lineage: Eukaryota; Metazoa; Mollusca; Gastropoda; Neogastropoda; Turridae. The record is from RNAcentral.
UCCUAGUUAUAAAUUAAAUUAGAUUUACCAGAGUACUAUGAAUACUAUAAAAUUUAAAACUCAAAGGACUUGGCGGUGUUUUAGACCACUCAGGGGAACCUGUCCCGUAAUCGAUAAUCCACGUUAUACCUGACCUCUUUUUGCUUUCAGCUUGUAUACCGUUGUCGUCAGGUAACUUUUUAGAAUCUAGAAGUUAGCUAAAAAUAAUGAAUUUAAACGUCAAAUCAAGGUGCAGUUAACAAGGAGGCGAGGAUGGGUUACAAUUAUUUAAUUGUAAUUACGAAGAAUUAUAGGAAUAGAUAAUUAAGAAGGAGGACUUGAAAGUAAAUUAGACUAUAAAAAUAAUUUGAAUUAGGCUCUGAAAUGCGCACACAUCGCCCGUCGCUCUUGUUGGAAAAUAAGAUAAGUCGUAACAUAGUAGGGGUAAUGGAAAUUGUUCCUAAACU